Molecule: transfer RNA, 73 nt
Filed under: Sinaechinocyamus mai
Lineage: Eukaryota; Metazoa; Echinodermata; Echinoidea; Clypeasteroida; Taiwanasteridae
Description: tRNA-Leu
Rfam family: tRNA
About the family: Transfer RNA (tRNA) molecules are approximately 80 nucleotides in length. Their secondary structure includes four short double-helical elements and three loops (D, anti-codon, and T loops).
Source: RNAcentral
GCUAAAGUAGCAAAGUAGUUAAUGCAGAAGGCCUAAGACCUUCCUAUCAAAGGUUCAAAUCCUUUCUUUAGCU